GGGGCAGCAUUUUAGUUUGCUUGCAAACUGAAGAUGGCGACCGGCGCACGGGUGAGUAACACGUAUCCAACCUGCCGAUAACUCCGGGAUAGCCUUUCGAAAGAAAGAUUAAUACCGGAUGGCAUACGAAUAUCGCAUGAUAUUUUUAUUAAAGAAUUUCGGUUAUCGAUGGGGAUGCGUUCCAUUAGUUUGUUGGCGGGGUAACGGCCCACCAAGACUACGAUGGAUAGGGGUUCUGAGAGGAAGGUCCCCCACAUUGGAACUGAGACACGGUCCAAACUCCUACGGGAGGCAGCAGUGAGGAAUAUUGGUCAAUGGGCGAGAGCCUGAACCAGCCAAGUAGCGUGAAGGAUGAAGGCUCUAUGGGUCGUAAACUUCUUUUAUAUGGGAAUAAAGUUUUCCACGUGUGGAAUUUUGUAUGUACCAUAUGAAUAAGGAUCGGCUAACUCCGUGCCAGCAGCCGCGGUAAUACGGAGGAUCCGAGCGUUAUCCGGAUUUAUUGGGUUUAAAGGGAGCGUAGGUGGAUUGUUAAGUCAGUUGUGAAAGUUUGCGGCUCAACCGUAAAAUCGCAGUUGAAACUGGCAGUCUUGAGUACAGUAGAGGUGGGCGGAAUUCGUGGUGUAGCGGUGAAAUGCUUAGAUAUCACGAAGAACUCCGAUUGCGAAGGCAGCUCACUAGACUGUUACUGACACUGAUGC
This 698-nucleotide ribosomal RNA is filed under the name uncultured Bacteroidales bacterium. RNAcentral's name for it is "bacterial SSU rRNA". It matches the Rfam family "Bacterial small subunit ribosomal RNA", at positions 66 to 752 of the family's 1533-position model. The record is from RNAcentral. Lineage: Bacteria; Pseudomonadati; Bacteroidota; Bacteroidia; Bacteroidales.